GACGAACGCUGGCGGCGUGCCUAACACAUGCAAGUCGAGCGAGGUUGCGGAUGGGUGCUUGCACCCUGAAGCUACCUAGCGGCGGACGGGUGAGUAACGCGUGAGUAACCUGCCUUAUACAGGGGGAUAACAACGAGAAAUCGUUGCUAAUACCGCAUAAGACCACGGUAUCGCAUGGUACAGGGGUAAAAGGAGCAAUCCGGUAUAAGAUGGACUCGCGUCCCAUUAGCUAGUUGGUGAGAUAACAGCCCACCAAGGCAACGAUGGGUAGCCGACCUGAGAGGGUGAUCGGCCACACUGGGACUGAGACACGGCCCAGACUCCUACGGGAGGCAGCAGUGGGGAAUAUUGGGCAAUGGGCGAAAGCCUGACCCAGCAACGCCGCGUGAAGGAAGAAGGUCUUCGGAUUGUAAACUUCUGUCGUCAGGGACGAAAAGGACGGUACCUGGCAAGAAAGCCCCGGCUAACUACGUG
This 474-nucleotide ribosomal RNA is filed under the name uncultured bacterium. RNAcentral's name for it is "bacterial SSU rRNA". It matches the Rfam family "Bacterial small subunit ribosomal RNA", at positions 28 to 507 of the family's 1533-position model. The record is from RNAcentral.